CGUGUCGGUUGUGUGGUAGAGGUUUGGUGGAAUUGGGAUUCUGAGGUAGUUUGAUGUGGAUUAAGGGGUCAGUUUUGGUGGGAUUUAGGUGUUAGUGUGGUAGUUGGGAUAUUAUUUUAUUUUAUUUAUUUUCUCCAAAAAGUUUUCCCUUUUUAAUGUUUUCUUCUGUCGUCUCUGUUAUUUUUUUCUUUAUUUUCCUUCUGCUUCCAUUGAUUUUAAUCACGAAUUCUCGCUCUUCGUUACAUUUUGGUAUUCUCGAUUCCUUCGUGUGGCUUCGUAGGUAAGGAU
Molecule: long non-coding RNA, 288 nt
Filed under: Gossypium raimondii (Peruvian cotton)
Lineage: Eukaryota; Viridiplantae; Streptophyta; Magnoliopsida; Malvales; Malvaceae
Description: long non-coding RNA (GRAI_LNC009074)
Source: RNAcentral